Long non-coding RNA from Lotus japonicus, 1097 nucleotides. RefSeq lists it as uncharacterized. The transcript is spliced from 2 exons. The record is from RefSeq and is a predicted model, not a curated record. NCBI's taxonomy places the organism in Eukaryota, Viridiplantae, Streptophyta, Magnoliopsida, Fabales, Fabaceae.
AGACAAAAAAUUGAGGCAAGUGCUCGGAAGGAAAUGAUCUCUAAAUUCAGGUCCAAGCUGCACGAAGGACAUGUCUAUAGGAUAUCUAAUUUUACAUUUGUGUCCAACAGUGACAACUUCAUGGCUUCUGACCAUGAAUUCAAGCUACUUUCAAUGAAAGAACACAGACAAUACUUGAGGAAUCCCCUGCCAUAGAAUGUCUUUUCGUUCAAAAAUUCUGAGGAAAUAUUAGCAACUGGUGGUGAAUCUGACUACCUAAUUGGUAUGUGCUUGUCCUACACCUCAAUACUCCAUUUAAAUCGCAUUUUUAACUAUCCCAUUUCCCAAUUGUGAAUUCUGAUCAUUUUCUAUUUCUAAUGAUUCAAUUGCUUAUAGACAUGAUUGGAUUAGUCACCAAUGUUUCAAGUGAGAAGCAAUAUCCUAAAGCUGGCAAAGUAACCAGGAUGAUUGAGCUUGAGAUUACGGAUGUUAAACAUGUUUCUAUAUACAAUGUUCAAUGUUUAUUUGCUAUCAUUGUUGGUGGCUGACUAUAUGAAUUCUUCUCAUCCUACUGUAGGGGAGAAAUUAAUUGUGCUUUCUUUGGCAACUAUGUUGACAUUGCUGUGGUAGAGGUUCAAACUCCGAGGAAGAUGAUCAGCCGUGGGAACUUCUCUAAAGUCCAGAUUGGAAGCCAUGAGUCUAUUGGUGAUUAUUCUGCAAACUUGUCUAAAAUAGGACCCAAUGCUGUUUUGCUUGAUGAAAUUUCACCAUGAGAUGGAUCUGGUGUCUCUUCUUCAGUCCCGAGUGUUGGAAGUGAGGGUACUUUUCCCAAGCCUGCUGAGAAGAUGAGGCUUAGGUCUGUCAAAUUGGAGAAGGAGUAGUAGUUGCAACUGAAUAAGUUAGAAUAAGUUUUAACAGUCAGCGGCAUGCUCAAACGAAGUCUUUUGGUUGUAUUUGCAGUAGGUGAUGGCUGGCUUAGUUGUUUCAUUUCUCUAUCUGUAUUAUGUGUUCCUAUAGUAGCAGUUGGUGUUUUUUUGUAAGGUGGGAUGUUGCACUCUCAAAGUAGUAGCCACUGAUGCUUAUGUUGAAUAUAAAAUUUGUCUCUAUUCCUUUGCAAA